This 406-nucleotide ribosomal RNA is filed under the name uncultured bacterium. Its description in RNAcentral is "partial 16S ribosomal RNA". It matches the Rfam family "Bacterial small subunit ribosomal RNA", at positions 30 to 526 of the family's 1533-position model. The record is from RNAcentral.
AUUGAACGCUGGCGGCAGGCCUAACACAUGCAAGUCGAACGAGUGGCGGACGGGUGAGUAAUGUCUGGGAAACUGCCUGCUGGAGGGGGAUAACUACUGGAACCGGUAGCUAAUACCGCAUACCAUCGGAUGUGCCCAGCUGGGAUUAGCUAGUAGGUGUGGUAACGGCUCACCUAGGCGACGAUGCCUAGCUGGUCUGAGAGGAUGACCAGCCACACUGGAACUGAGACACGGGCCAGACUCCUACGGGAGGCAGCAGUGGGGAAUAUUGCACAAUGGACGCAAGCCUGAUGCAGCCAUGCCGCGUGUAUGAAGAAGGCCUUCGGGUUGUAAAGGUCUUUCAGCGGGGAGGCGGUACCUGCAGAAGAAGCACCGGCUAACUCCGUGCCAGCAGCCGCGGUAAUUC